This 325-nucleotide ribosomal RNA is filed under the name uncultured eukaryote. RNAcentral's name for it is "partial 18S ribosomal RNA". It matches the Rfam family "Eukaryotic small subunit ribosomal RNA", at positions 1470 to 1796 of the family's 1831-position model. The record is from RNAcentral.
CCCUUAGACGUUCUGGGCCGCACGCGCGCUACACUGACCAGUGCAACAAGCAUCCGUCCUUGGCCGACAGGCCCGGGCAAUCUUUGAACGCUGGUCGUGAUGGGGAUAGACUUUUGCAAUUUUUGGUCUUCAACGAGGAAUUCCUAGUAAACGCAAGUCAUCAACUUGCAUUGAUUACGUCCCUGCCCUUUGUACACACCGCCCGUCGCACCUACCGAUUGAGUGAUCCGGUGAAUAAUUCGGACUGCGGCAUUGACCGGUUCCCGAUCGUUGCUGCGGAAAGUUUAGUGAACCUUAUCACUUAGAGGAAGGAGAAGUCGUAACA